GACGUAGGAGGCGAGCGUUGUCCGGAUUUAUUGGGCGUAAAGAGCUCGUAGGCGGUUCGGUAAGUCAGGUGUGAAAUCUCCACGCUCAACGUGGAGGCGCCACCUGAAACUGCCGUGACUCGAGUCCGGUAGGGGAGUGUGGAAUUCCUGGUGUAGCGGUGAAAUGCGCAGAUAUCAGGAGGAACACCGGUGGCGAAGGCGGGUCUCUGGGCAGUAACUGACGCUGAGGAGCGAAAGCGUGGGGAGCGAACAGG
This 254-nucleotide ribosomal RNA is filed under the name uncultured bacterium. RNAcentral describes it as "partial 16S ribosomal RNA". It matches the Rfam family "Bacterial small subunit ribosomal RNA", at positions 524 to 776 of the family's 1533-position model. The record is from RNAcentral.